Molecule: ribosomal RNA, 670 nt
Filed under: uncultured bacterium
Lineage: Bacteria
Description: bacterial SSU rRNA
Rfam family: Bacterial small subunit ribosomal RNA
Source: RNAcentral
UGCAAGUCGAGCGGUAGAGAGAAGCUUGCUUCUCUUGAGAGCGGCGGACGGGUGAGUAAUGCCUAGGAAUCUGCCUGGUAGUGGGGGAUAACGUUCGGAAACGGACGCUAAUACCGCAUACGUCCUACGGGAGAAAGCAGGGGACCUUCGGGCCUUGCGCUAUCAGAUGAGCCUAGGUCGGAUUAGCUAGUUGGUGGGGUAAUGGCUCACCAAGGCGACGAUCCGUAACUGGUCUGAGAGGAUGAUCAGUCACACUGGAACUGAGACACGGUCCAGACUCCUACGGGAGGCAGCAGUGGGGAAUAUUGGACAAUGGGCGAAAGCCUGAUCCAGCCAUGCCGCGUGUGUGAAGAAGGUCUUCGGAUUGUAAAGCACUUUAAGUUGGGAGGAAGGGCUGUUACCUAAUACGUGAUGGUUUUGACGUUACCGACAGAAUAAGCACCGGCUAACUCUGUGCCAGCAGCCGCGGUAAUACAGAGGGUGCAAGCGUUAAUCGGAAUUACUGGGCGUAAAGCGCGCGUAGGUGGUUUGUUAAGUUGGAUGUGAAAUCCCCGGGCUCAACCUGGGAACUGCAUUCAAAACUGACUGACUAGAGUAUGGUAGAGGGUGGGUGGGAAUUUCCUGUGUAGCGGUGAAAUGCGUAGAUAUAGGAAGGAACACCAGUGGCGAA